UACGUAGGGCGCAAGCGUUGUCCGGAAUUAUUGGGCGUAAAGAGCUCGUAGGCGGUUUGUUGCGUCUGUCGUGAAAGCCCACAGCUUAACUGUGGGUCUGCGGUGGAUACGGGCAGACUAGAGGCAGGUAGGGGGAGAAUGGAAUUCCCGAUGGUGAGCGGUGAAAUGCGUAGAUAUCGGAGGAACACCGGUGGCGAAGGCGGUC
This 205-nucleotide ribosomal RNA is filed under the name uncultured bacterium. Its description in RNAcentral is "partial 16S ribosomal RNA". It matches the Rfam family "Bacterial small subunit ribosomal RNA", at positions 524 to 726 of the family's 1533-position model. The record is from RNAcentral.